This 760-nucleotide long non-coding RNA is filed under the name Rattus norvegicus (Norway rat). Its description in RNAcentral is "long non-coding RNA NONRATT024796". The record is from RNAcentral. Lineage: Eukaryota; Metazoa; Chordata; Mammalia; Rodentia; Muridae.
GAGGUCUGACCGGGGAGGGAAGGAAAGAGGUGACCAGCUGUUAGUACAAAUGUUAAGGAAAUAAUCAGGGCACAGGCAGCCCUGUGGAGGAAGGGAGAUGGGGUGAGGUCUCAGUGAAGGAGACCCAAGCUCAAACGUGUUGCUUGUUAUGGAGUCAACACUCAAUGAUCUUAGGGAAGAAUGCUGAGCUAGCUGUAGGGGUAAAUGCAGGCCCUGGGGAACCCACAAGUCCCAUUUACAUGUCUUGUCUCCUCUCUCAGCCCUCUGUUGUUUUUCGUUAUCUGGAGGCAGAGUGGGUAGUAGCCUGCUUUGUGCUCCCUUUUCAGGGGCCAGUGUCAGUGGACAGAGGUGUGUACACUGGGAUGGGCAGGAAAGGCCUGAGACAGGGACCUAGGGUCUUCACCUUUGUGUAUCUGGCAUAUGGCAGAGCCCUGGCCACGGAUAAUGACAGUAAACAGUCAAAUCAGUGGAACUGGAGGACGAGAGAGGCUAACUCUGGCUGACUCUGGCUGCUGUGCAGUUCUGAACCAUAGGUAAUUGAGAACCUAUACAUUCUGAUUGAAUAAAUGUGUUUUAAAUAGAAAGAAUUGAUUCCUGAAUUCCCACUGAAGAGAAAACACUUGACUUCACCCACAUUUGUCCAAAAGCUAGUGAACGUUGGCCACCUUGAAACAGUGUAAGAGUCCAGGCACCGAAAGCCAGCUCUCCCUCUCGUGUCUCAGGGCUGAUACGUUCUGCAUUUGUGACUUAGUCUGGUGUA